GUGGGUGUGGCCUAGUCGGCUAAGGCGUCAGAUUGUGGCUCUGAAGAUCGUGGGUUCGAGUCCCAUCACCCACCCCA
This 77-nucleotide transfer RNA is filed under the name Candidatus Faecousia intestinigallinarum. RNAcentral's name for it is "tRNA-His". It matches the Rfam family "tRNA". Rfam says of the family: Transfer RNA (tRNA) molecules are approximately 80 nucleotides in length. Their secondary structure includes four short double-helical elements and three loops (D, anti-codon, and T loops). Lineage: Bacteria; Bacillati; Bacillota; Clostridia; Eubacteriales; Oscillospiraceae. RNAcentral also lists the same sequence under 1 other name. The record is from RNAcentral.